Molecule: RNA transcript, 2306 nt
Organism: Populus euphratica (Euphrates poplar)
Lineage: Eukaryota; Viridiplantae; Streptophyta; Magnoliopsida; Malpighiales; Salicaceae
Gene name: probable E3 ubiquitin-protein ligase BAH1-like
Exons: 7
Source: RefSeq, a predicted model, not a curated record
UCAUUACGUUAGUGGGCUGUGUGGGUGGAUCCCAUUUUUCUCAUAAAUGCAUCUGGAUUGUUUUUGACUUGGCGUGUUCAGGUCAAACUGUACUUCCUAUUUAUUUAACGUUAAUGGUGCAAAUUGCAAGAGAAGCGCGGGUUUCGUUUUUUAUCGAAACAAAUUGCACGCAACAUCCUCUUGCUUGUGUCUUUCUAUAGAAAAGAAACUCGUUUCCAAAUCCCAGUUAGUUAAUCCUUAAAAUAAAUAUUAAUUAAUCCUUCGUUUCUCUUCAUCGAAACAAAGAAGAAGAUGAAGUUUGGAGAGACAUUCAUGGAGUAUUUACACGGAGAACAAGAAGGGUGUUUGGACAAAUGUGCUCAUGUUGAGUACAAACGACUCAAAAAAGUGUUAAAGAAAUGCAGAAGCCAAGGUCCGCCAUCCACUUCUUGCAACGACGAGCAGCAACAAGAAAGAGACAGUGAACAGAAUCACAGCUUGUCCCAAGUCUGCCAUUGCAAAUCUUGCCCUUUGUGUGAUCAGAUGUUCUUUUCCGAAUUGAUGAGGGAAGCUUCAGAUAUAGCUGGGUGCUUUAGUUCCAGAGUUAGACAUCUUCUCCAUCUUCAUGUUGCCAGGGGAAUGCAAAGAUAUAAACUUCGUCUACGUCAAUGUUUCAAAAAUGAUCAGCAGAUCAUGGUUGAAGAAGGGCGCAUGCUGAUUGAAUAUGUUACCAUGAAUGCAAUUGCUAUCCGUAAAAUUCUAAAGAAAUAUGAUAAAGUGCAUUCCUCUAUAAAUGGGAAGAAUUUCAAAUCCAAGAUGCGGUCUGAACAUAUGGAGCUUUUGCAAUCACCUUGGCUAAUAGAGUUGGGAGCCUUUUAUUUGAAUUUUGAUGGAAUAGAUGGAGGGGAGUUUAGUGAGUUCUGCAGUCGGUUUUCCUGUGAUCUCAGGGCUACAGAACCUGUCAUGACACUGAUGCUUCCAAAUUAUACAAAAUUAGAAUACGGUCUUACUUGUGCCAUUUGCUUGGAGAUGGUUUUUAAUCCGUAUGCUUUGAGUUGUGGUCAUCUUUUCUGCAAGUUGUGUGCUUGCUUAGCUGCUUCUGUGCUGGUGGUUGAAGGCCUUAAAGCUGCAAGUUCAAAUGCAAAGUGCCCUGUCUGUAGAGAGGCCCUCUUUUGUUUCAACGGCAAAGUUAUGCCCUACGCGGAUUGAUUCCCUGGUGUAUAGGAUUGUUCAAGGCAUAUUCUGAGUAGGAACUUGAAGCGGCUACUUACUCUGAAGGUGCUUUUGUUGUAUUACCUGAGACAAUGUGCAUUACUAGAGGUAUCUUGUGCUCUUCUAGGGCCUCUUUUGUUUCAACAGCAGAAAGGAACGAGUCAUACACCAUGCAUGGUUGGUUUCUUACAUUGGGUGCAAUGGUUAUAAUAUCUCGGUGGGUACAAAGAAAAAAGGUUUCAGUAAGUUCAACUCUCUUGGGAUCUUCAAUGUUGCUAGUUGUCUUUCUUGUUUGCCAUGAGAGGUUUGCAGGUGGUGAAUCUUCCUUGGAAGCAUGGAUUGUUCUAACUAGUGCAGUAAUGAAACACCUUACCUUUCAUUGAGUGGAUUGAGUCUGGAAAAAAUUAUCCUUCUUUUCUUUCUAACAUUUAUGUUUCUGUCUCAUAAGAUUAACUAAUCAACCUGAAGAGAUCUGCUAUUUUACUUUGUUGGAGUGAACACUGCUUAAUAUAGGCUGGGGUAUACACUAACGCAGUGCACAUGUUGGAGCUUGAUCUGCUUGUGAAAAGAAGGUGCAAAGAGCUCUGGAAGGAGAGGAUGGUUGCUGAACGUGCUGAGACCGUAAAGCAAACCAGGGAGUAUUGGGAUUUACAGACCAAAUAUGCGAUUGGCUAUUGAUUGUGGAAGGCUUGAAUGGAGGAGGGAAUUCUGGAAGUGUACCUCAAGUGGUUGAGCUCAGAGUUGCUUGAGAUGAAUAUCAUAGUUCAAGCAGGCUGUGGAUUUCUUGGUGGUUUUGAGCUAGACCCAAUUAAAGAUCAUUUUGGAAUGUUUCCAAGUGAGCAGCCUGCUUAGCUACCGCUAUUGUAAUUCGAGAUUACAAUGGAGGAAAGGAAAGGAAGACUAGAAAAUAAGACAAUGAAUAUUUAUCAGCACCAAGUAAUUUUUGCCAGAGAACCUCGAUUUGGUCAGCACCAAGUAAUUUCUAUCGAAUUACUUGGGAUUUCUUUUUAUGAAUUUUGAUGAUCCCCCGCUUAACUCCUUCCAUGUCUCUGUUUGAACAGCUUUUCACUUUCCUCUGUUGUUUCAUCUUGUUAAUGUUUUUGUAUUUCUCUUUU